Molecule: transfer RNA, 74 nt
Filed under: Loxodonta africana (African savanna elephant)
Lineage: Eukaryota; Metazoa; Chordata; Mammalia; Proboscidea; Elephantidae
Rfam family: tRNA
About the family: Transfer RNA (tRNA) molecules are approximately 80 nucleotides in length.
Source: Rfam by way of RNAcentral
GUUGGUGGUGCAAAAAUGGUUAAUGCACUUGGCUGCUAACCAAAAGGUUGGAGGUUUGAGUCUACCCAGUGGCA